GGCAUGCCUUACACAUGCAAGUCGAACGGCAGCACGGGAGCAAUCCUGGUGGCGAGUGGCGAACGGGUGAGUAAUACAUCGGAACGUGCCCAAUCGUGGGGGAUAACGCAGCGAAAGCUGUGCUAAUACCGCAUAAGAUCUACGGAUGAAAGCAGGGGACUCGCAAGAGCCUUGCGCGAAUGGAGCGGCUGAUGGCAGAUUAGGUAGUUGGUGAGGUAAAGGCUCACCAAGCCUUCGAUCUGUAGCUGGUCUGAGAGGACGACCAGCCACACUGGGACUGAGACACGGCCCAGACUCCUACGGGAGGCAGCAGUGGGGAAUUUUGGACAAUGGGCGCAAGCCUGAUCCAGCCAUGCCGCGUGCAGGAUGAAGGCCUUCGGGUUGUAAACUGCUUUUGUACGGAACGAAAAGGUUCUUUCUAAUAAAGAGAGCUCAUGACGGUACCGUAAGAAUAAGCACCGGCUAACUACGUGCCAGCAGCCGCGGUAAUACGUAGGGUGCGAGCGUUAAUCGGAAUUACUGGGCGUAAAGCGUGCGCAGGCGGUGAUGUAAGACAGUUGUGAAAUCCCCGGGCUCAACCUGGGAACUGCAUCUGUGACUGCAUCGCUGGAGUGCGGCAGAGGGGGAUGGAAUUCCGCGUGUAGCAGUGAAAUG
This 654-nucleotide ribosomal RNA is filed under the name uncultured bacterium. Its description in RNAcentral is "bacterial SSU rRNA". It matches the Rfam family "Bacterial small subunit ribosomal RNA", at positions 41 to 688 of the family's 1533-position model. The record is from RNAcentral.